CCCCGGGGCUGCCCCGGCCUUGGCCCCGGCCCAGCUGCGAGGGGGAGCAGGAGGAAGGGGAUCUGGGCCCGGAGAGAAGGCAGGGAAAAGAGUGAAGCCAAUCAGAGCCAGUGAGUGGAACAUCUGGAAGGCAGAGGGAGCCAGUGAGUGGAACAUCAAAAGCUGACAUAUUUGGAUCUGGGUGACUUCAGGUUUGGAUGCUGCUUCCAUUUCGCAAAGGUUCAGCCUUGCUUCAGGAUACCACCACUUGGAACUGACACUGGGAAAAGGGGCAGCAUUUUUCUACAGCUUUGCAAACACUGUCCUGCUGCUGCUAAAAUGCAAAUAAGGAACACAAGGAAAUACCUGACUGGGCCAAACUGUCGAGCCUGAUCCCAGAGUUGGAAAGAGCACAGGAAUUCCAAGGAGUUUCAUGCUGGAGGUGAAAGAUCCCAAUACAAAGGGCGCUCUGCUGACAAGAACUGGGAAAUAUGCAAUAGC
Calypte anna (Anna's hummingbird) is the source of this 480-nucleotide long non-coding RNA. RefSeq lists it as uncharacterized. NCBI's taxonomy places the organism in Eukaryota, Metazoa, Chordata, Aves, Apodiformes, Trochilidae. The record is from RefSeq and is a predicted model, not a curated record. The transcript has 4 exons.